CGUACACUCCUACGGGAGGCAGCAGUGGGGAAUUUUGGACAAUGGGCGAAAGCCUGAUCCAGCCAUGCCGCGUGCAGGAUGAAGGCCUUCGGGUUGUAAACUGCUUUUGUACGGAACGAAACGGCCUUUUCUAAUAAAGAGGGCUAAUGACGGUACCGUAAGAAUAAGCACCGGCUAACUACGUGCCAGCAGCCGCGGUAAUACGUAGGGUGCAAGCGUUAAUCGGAAUUACUGGGCGUAAAGCGUGCGCAGGCGGUUAUGUAAGACAGUUGUGAAAUCCCCGGGCUCAACCUGGGAACUGCAUCUGUGACUGCAUAGCUAGAGUACGGUAGAGGGGGAUGGAAUUCCGCGUGUAGCAGUGAAAUGCGUAGAUAUGCGGAGGAACACCGAUGGCGAAGGCAAUCCCCUGGACCUGUACUGACGCUCAUGCACGAAAGCGUGGGGAGCAAACAGGAUUAGAUACCUUAGUAGUCCCAUG
RNAcentral lists this ribosomal RNA (478 nucleotides) under uncultured organism. RNAcentral describes it as "partial 16S ribosomal RNA". It matches the Rfam family "Bacterial small subunit ribosomal RNA", at positions 330 to 799 of the family's 1533-position model. The record is from RNAcentral.